UACGUAGGGUGCAAGCGUUGUCCGGAAUUAUUGGGCGUAAAGAGCUCGUAGGCGGUUUGUCGCGUCGUCCGUGAAAACCUGCAGCUCAACUGCAGGCUUGCGGGCGAUACGGGCAGGCUAGAGUUCGGUAGGGGAGACUGGAAUUCCUGGUGUAGCGGUGAAAUGCGCAGAUAUCAGGAGGAACACCGGUGGCGAAGGCGGGUCUCUGGGCCGAUACUGACGCUGAGGAGCGAAAGCGUGGGGAGCGAACAGG
This 253-nucleotide ribosomal RNA is filed under the name uncultured bacterium. RNAcentral's name for it is "partial 16S ribosomal RNA". It matches the Rfam family "Bacterial small subunit ribosomal RNA", at positions 524 to 776 of the family's 1533-position model. The record is from RNAcentral.